RNAcentral lists this non-coding RNA (25 nucleotides) under Mus musculus (house mouse). Lineage: Eukaryota; Metazoa; Chordata; Mammalia; Rodentia; Muridae. The record is from RNAcentral.
GAAUGGGGCAAAGGCCUUGCUUGAC